AUGACAGAGCUCUCUGGGACGUGGCUGCCACCGUCUUCCCCAGAGACCCCAAAGCGUGGCUUUCCUUUCUCUGGCAGGGCUCCGUGGCUCCACAUUCCUCUGACUGCUGAGGGUCCUGGGUCUUUGGGCGGUGUGUCAGUUUCUGGCUACCAUCUUUGUCCGCUUCCGGAGGAACGGGACCACAGCUGCAGUUGCCUUGGUACAACCAAUGGGGGACAGUGUCCUGCAGUGGUUAAAGGCGUGGGCUCUGAAACAAGACUGAAUCCUGGCUCGCUCCUGUGUAACCUCAGGCAAGCUACUUGGCCUCACCAUGCCUCAGUUUCUCCAUCUGCAAAAUGGGAGCAGGGAUGGUAGUAUCCAUCUCAGGAGAUUAUAAGGACCUAAAUGACGCCAUGUACAGAGAUGCCUGGGUGGCUCCGUCGGUUAACCAUCUGACUCUUGAUUUUGGCUCAGGUCAUGAUCUCAGAGUCAUGGGAUCGAGCCCUGCGUUGGCUCCGCACUCAGUGGAGAGUCUGCUUGUCCCUCUCCCUCUGCUCCCCCCCCCCCGCCCGUGUUCUUUCUUUCUCUCUCAAAUAAAUAAAUAAAAUCCUUUUAAAAAAUAAGUGAUACCAUAUACAGAAAAUC
This 624-nucleotide long non-coding RNA is filed under the name Ursus thibetanus thibetanus. RNAcentral's name for it is "lncRNA (ENSUTTG00000003535.1)". Lineage: Eukaryota; Metazoa; Chordata; Mammalia; Carnivora; Ursidae. The record is from RNAcentral.